GGAAGGUCGACCGGUAGCGGAUGUCGGAUGGCACUGGAGAGGCUCACCCACUGGAGGGGUCCGACUGCUGGAGUCCGUGUGUCGUAGAGGUUCCUCCUGAAUCUGUCCGCUACAGAAGUUUGGUCGGAGUCCGGUUCCCGUAGAAGUCUGGAUGGGGCUCAUUUGUAGAGGAAGGUCGACCGAAGCCUGCCUGCAAUAGAAGUUCGGAGAAAAUUUAUUCACAAUAGAAGCUCGGGUGGAGGCUUACAGUA
Molecule: long non-coding RNA, 251 nt
Filed under: Elaeis guineensis (African oil palm)
Lineage: Eukaryota; Viridiplantae; Streptophyta; Magnoliopsida; Arecales; Arecaceae
Description: long non-coding RNA (EGUI_LNC014439)
Source: RNAcentral